AGUCGAACGCUUCAGCAAUGAAGAGUGGCAGACGGGUGAGUAACCCGUGGGAACCUUCCCAGUGGUACGGAAUAGCCCAGGGAAACUUGGGGUAAUACCGUAUAAGCCCUUAGGGGGAAAGAUUUAUCGCCAUUGGAUGGGCCCGCGUCGGAUUAGCUUGUUGGUGAGGUAAAAGCUCACCAAGGCGACGAUCCGUAGCUGGUCUGAGAGGAUGAUCAGCCACACUGGGACUGAGACACGGCCCAGACUCCUACGGGAGGCAGCAGUGGGGAAUAUUGGACAAUGGGCGCAAGCCUGAUCCAGCCAUGCCGCGUGAGUGACGAAGGCCUUAGGGUUGUAAAGCUCUUUUGGCGGGGACGAUAAUGACGGUACCCGCAGAAUAAGCUCCGGCUAACUUCGUGCCAGCAGCCGCGGUAAUACGAAGGGAGCUAGCGUUGUUCGGAAUUACUGGGCGUAAAGCGCACGUAGGCGGAUUUGUUAGUCAGGGGUGAAAUCCCGGGGCCCAACCUCGGAACUGCCUUUGAUACUGCAAGUCUGGAGUCCGGAAGAGGUGGGUGGAAUUCCUAGUGUAGAGGUGAAAUUCGUAGAUAUUAGGAAGAACACCGGUGGCGAAGG
RNAcentral lists this ribosomal RNA (615 nucleotides) under uncultured bacterium. RNAcentral describes it as "bacterial SSU rRNA". It matches the Rfam family "Bacterial small subunit ribosomal RNA", at positions 60 to 721 of the family's 1533-position model. The record is from RNAcentral.